UGAGAGAGCGUGUCUCAACCACA
Molecule: non-coding RNA, 23 nt
Filed under: Mus musculus (house mouse)
Lineage: Eukaryota; Metazoa; Chordata; Mammalia; Rodentia; Muridae
Source: RNAcentral